GCUGUCAAUGGGAACAUUUCCAAUGAGACCUGUGAAAAACAGUUCCUCGGUGAUGCUAGAGCUCAUCAGCCUAAGUGCUGGCAGGCGAACUAGGAUCCGGGCUAGCCUGAAAAAGAAGUUCAGUGGAUUAUAAAUACAUUUGCUCAGAAAUAAUCAGAUUUGUUCUGUAAACUUGUCUAUGGGUGAGCAUGGAGAUGGAGACACUAUUUACUUAAAAUACAAGACACUGCUUGGGGAAUGCAACUCUGAUUUUCUUCUCUGAGACACUAUUAUGAGAAGUAAGUAUAUGGAACAAAUUUUAUAUUUAGUUUUAUGGUAGAUAUUCAGCUCUCACUAAUCAAACCAGAAGGCCUCAAUUGUACAUGGAAGAAUGUGGGAUCUGAGGAUAUUUCUGAGGCAGAGAAUCCUAUUUUCAUGGCACCACAGUGUUAAUUCUGUAAGAUCAGUGCAGAAAACAGAGAUGGGAGAAACUCUCUUUUUCAGACAGUUUUUUUUUCUCCUUUUUAGUUAUUCUACCCCCAGACAGUGCUUAAGUGUUUGGGAUUUCUUCUUUACAUGAGGAUGCCUUUCACAGUAAAAAAGAACAUGUUCUAGUAUAUCUUGCAGACAGAGGUAAGAAGUUCCCUGAUAGUGCAGAAAAUAAUUUUGUUGAUGAAUUUUACAUUUUAAUGGAGAUUGUUAGAAAAUACAGUAAUUGUUUCUAGCACAUAACAAACAGAAUAGUUGAGAAGUGAAAAGAGCAAGCUAGAUAAUUUCAGAGAAGUCCUUAGAAAUUACCAAAACAAACCAAACAAACCCAGAGGAGAAAAUAACUAGGAUGUGGGAAUUUCUUACAAACAGAAGUUUGAGCAGUGGUUAUUGUUCCUUGUUAUAUGUAAUCGUUGUUUUUCCAAGGGCUAUAACUGACAGUUCUAACAUUUUUCUGCAUAUGCAACUUGAAAAACAUUUCAAGGAUAAUCAUCUUUUAGUUGUCAGAGAGACUUUAAAAUAAUAACUUGAAAAAAGAAGCAGUGUGAAUUAGUCAGUUGAAGCAGUUGUCCCCCAAACUUCUAAAAAAAUAAGUAAGUAAAUCUGUUUACUUUUCUAAACACAACUAUGAGAGUCUCAAAAACCCACUCAAAAACCAAGAAAGUACUAAUAAAUUCAAUUUACAUGGAGGAAGUUAGACAGCUAUUCUUAUUUCUACAUAUUUUUAAACAAACCUGCUUGCUUUUACAAAUUAGGUUUUAGUUCUUUCUCAUCCACAGUCAGAAAAAAACCCAAACCCCAGAUGUCAAAAACAUUAAUUACAUUAUUUUGUAGUUCUGUUAGUUACAGCCCACAACAUUACUUUGGGUACUUUAGACAAUAAAUACCUAUAAGUGUCUUCUGGAUAGGUUUUUUGUACAUAGUCCUGCAAUUCCAUCUGUGCCUUCUCCUGGAAUUUUUCUAUUUGGGUUGAACUGGUCAGACCAGGGUGAUCUAAAGAAACAAAACAUUUCUGUAUGUCGAUUGUUUCCCUAUACAUUGUGAAAUAGAUGUAUUUAUAAGACUCUCACAUUUAAUUUCAAUGAAAUAUUUCUCUGGUAUUGUGAUGUUUAACAUGCUAGCUGUAUAAAGGUAAGCAUUUACUUCCUGGCUUCAGAAUUAGUUUGUUCACUUUUCUCUCUAGAGCUGUGUGGGUCCAUAAGAAAGUGGACAAAGAUUAAGCCUGUAUGUGUGUACCAGGCAAUGACACAGAAUUUGUUUUUAACUUUGCCUGUUUAAAUGUAAACAUGUUUGCCUCUGUUAUUUUUUCUAACCAGGCUGGCUAAGCAGUAUCUAAGGUUAUUUUUUUGAUAGAUCAGUGUCUUAAUCUUCUUUAGUCUGUCUCAUGUUUUAAUUCCAGCUGCCUCAGCUCCUCAGACAGGCACAUGAUCAGAGCAAAAAAAAGCAAACCCACAAAAUAUCACCUCUCUUUGUAUGCCAAAAUACCUUCACUCUUGUGUCCAAACUGCUUGUCCCUUGAAAUAAGAAAGGCUACCUUGAGCUUGGGUAGUGUGUCUUGCUUUUCCAACUCAAAUAAAACCCCUAAUAAACCUAACUCUAAUGGGACAAUCUCCCCAGAAAAAUUCAAAAGAACAUUUCAGGACACCACAAUCUUCUAAUUAAGUUUUAUUACAAAGAGAAAAAUAGUUAUCAAUGCAAAAAACCCCCAAGCAAACACACCAAUAACAAUAUAUCCUUUUACUUUGUAUUCUAUUAAAUACAAAGUGGUAAAUACCUUCAAAUUAAAAUAAAUAAUAUGCAUUUCAGAGCAAAACUUUCCCUUUUACUCAGCCUGUCAGCAGUUGUAGAUUAACCUUUGUGUGUCCUAGAAACAUUUGCCAUCUCUGCCGAAAAGACUGCCACUUCCAGUUUCUUUAAUGUCCUUACCUAAUCAUUCCUGAAAAUUUCAAGUAUCUUCUUUGAGUAAAUUUCCGUAUUUCAGAAACACUUGAUUCUGCUUUAGCUAUCUGCUGUCAUUUUUUCAAAACAAAUGGAAGACAGCCUGUUUUCAUUCAGUCUUUGAGAUUUUGAGGAAGUUUCAUAUAAAAUAGGUAUUUCUGCUCAUAUUUCAGCUAUUCCUCUUAAAAGUAUAUAAAAAAUACUAAAACUGAAGCAAAUUUCUUUUUGUCACUCAGAGAAUGCAUUUCUUCUAAUCCUUCUCACCAUUUACCUCACUAAUAUUGCUAGUACACAUUCCAGAUACCUUCAGCUGAGAAUCUAUGAGUAAUACUUGAGAAUCUAAUCUUCUAGGAUGGAUGUACAGGAAACACCUCAUAGAUUGGAACUGUAAAUAACAUGGAUAUGUUGCCCUGAAGUUAUUUUAAAACAUAUUGUGAUGAACAUUAUGAAACAGUAAUUUUAUCUGCAACUAAACAGAUGAGUCUCAUCUCAAGAUACUAGUUUCAUUUAAAAAUGUAAAGAAUUGACAUAUUAAGGAUUAUUAUUUAAAAAGAUAUGGUUAAUAAAUUCCUUACCAGGGCUAAAAAGGACUAUAGCUUUAAGGUAUGCAUAUUCAUAUCCAUCAAUAUCAAGCUUGGCCAUGCUGUUACAGAACUCCUGAAGUUUCCAGAUGUGUUCCAUGACUUGCUUUAUUCUGUCGCCAGAAAGUUUAUCUACAAAAAGAUAUUGCUUACUAUUUCAUCUGAGCUCAAGUAUUUCUAAUAUAUUAACAAAGUUUUAUAAACCAAGUCAAGUGAUAUUUGCAAGUCUUUUGCUGUCUUAGAACCACUUAACAUGUAAGGGUGGCCUGAAUUAUUAUGAAAGCAAAGUGAAUUUAUAAAGUUAAGUCAGACCCAGAGCUAACAAACAGAAUGUUAAGAACAUUCUAGGAACAGAAUGUUAUCCUGUUGCCAGGAUAGCAUAAUCUGCCACACCAAACUUUUUCCAGUGAUAUACUGUUCUGAACAGAGAUUCUGAAAUUAUGGUGCAUUCUUCUACAAAUGGCUAGAGUGAUUCUGGGAAUGAACAGAAGCACAAAGGAAGUGCUAACAUGCAACCCUAAUUUUAAAUUCAAACAUUAUUGAAUCAGCCUUUCCAAAAGUGAACGCAAGAACAGUAAUGACAGAGCUAUUUUCUCCUCUAUCUACACUUUCUGGAGUGAACUUUUCAUUAGCUAUGGUAAAUAGUCUUUUUCGUGUCUGAUAGGGUAAAUUCACUGAAAUGCACAUACACAGAUUCUUCUAUAAUUUGAAAGAUCACAUUCCUUAUAUUGGGUUCAUAAGCUAUCUUAAAAUUUCAAUUUAAAAUUUUAUUUUAUUUAUAGAUCUGUUACAAGUGAGUGGUAUUAGCUGCUAAACUAGGAAGGGAGAGAUUUCUGGUUUGGUAAAUAGAAAUCCUUAUAUUGGACUGCCUAUCUACAAACUAGUCAAGGAAUAAAAACAUUAGAUAAUACAUGAAGACAAACUUUUGAAUAUAUAAUUGCUAUUAUCAAACUUCAGAAGUAAGUCAGUUUACAAGGGAUAAAACCUUUCCUUGAAAAACACAUUAGAAUUUUAUUCCUGCCAUAAUCUCCAAUGCUAGUAUUUAAUAUAAUUUGAAUAUUUUAUUUUUCUCUAUACAGCUAAUAGUACAUAGCAAGAUUGCUUAGACCCCAUGUAGCUUAAACAGAAUCUUUGACAUAGUUUAUUACUAUUUGAUCUAUUUUCUGAAACUGCAAUAAGAAGAUUCAAUGAAUGGAAGAACCAUUUUUUGCAGAGUCUUGAAAUAAGAAUGAAAGCAUAAUCUACAUUUCUUAAAACAUUGUGUGUAAUUUUUAGUUACUGAAGAUGGAUGAAGAUAGACAUAAUGUAAUGAUUUUAUUCCUGUAUUAAGUGGGAAAAUAUGGCCCAGAAAAACUCAGGCAAAGCAAACUAGAAUUCCAGAGUCUCUACGUAGCUCCAUCACUAAUAAAUAAAUGAAGUUCUGAAAUUUCUUCACUUUGUUUUGAAUUUUGAAGGUAUAAUACGCAAUAUAACAUGAUAACUUUGCAGAAUAGAUAAAUAACACUAAUGAUCCGCUUUUAUUGGCUGGUCUCAGCUAACACAGUAUGAGUGCAAGUACAGGUUAUAGAAAAAAUAUUUUUACAAUAUUGAUGCAUAAGAACAGAAGUGGAAACAGCUGCAAUAGCCCUGCCACUUACUCCUCUCCACUGCUUGGAACGAAGCUCUUUGUAUUCUGAAAUAGAUAUAAAGCCUAACUUUGCAUAGAACAUCCAAUAUGCAGGUUUUCCUAUUGAUCUUUUCAAAUUUUGCCCCUCUGUGCAGGAUAGGAGCAGCACUCUGUUGUAUUUUGGGACUGUCCAGGCUCUCUUGAGAAAAUGAGAAAACAAACCAAAACAAAAAAAAAAACCCAACCAACAAAAAAAAAACCCAAAACCAAAACAAGAAAAAACUCUAUAUUCAUUAUAUAGAGUAAGUAGUAAAGCAUACUGUCCAUUAAAGAAUCAAAUUUCAGUUUAAUUUACUUUAUCAUGAUGAAGCUAAUAAAGUAGAUUAAAACUUGAUUGUAGAACUAUAAAAUAGAUAAAGAAGAUAGCUGGAAAAAUAUUUAAUAUCCUUCAGCUGUAGAAAAAUACAUCUGUUUUACUCUCCUCAGUAAAAACCUAUUUUCAGAUUUUUGCUGUGUGCACAAUAAUGAUACUAUACAAAAGUUAUUAAAAAAUGGUACCAUAAAAAAUUGGUACCAAAUAGUAUUCUGUAAGUGCUUUUAAUGAACAUGUAGAUUUAAAGUAGUUUUCAUUUUUUAUGCUGUGUUUGCAGAGUUUAAAACUGCUAGUAUUGUUUUCUUCCUCCUUUUAAAAAUGAAUAUUAUUUUCAUGCUAAUCAAUCCUAUUGAUUGGAAGGGUCUUGAAAGAAUAAAAAAAGUAAAUAUAACAGAUUUUCAUCCAUUCUAGAUAUAAUCAUCAUUGUCAACAGACCAACAUUGAAUUAAAAAAUAAAAUCACAUACAUCUUGUUAAGAAUGUCAAGAAAUUAGGUUGCUUAAUGCUUCAAGAGCACUUCAAAAUACAUUAAUCAUUAUUGCAUUACAGUAUUAUCCAAAACCAUUGUACAUACAAGAAUAUGCUUGUUGUGAUAAUUGGCAAAUGCUGUGUUUUUACACCACAAAGAGGAGAAGGAAAGUUCUAGAAGGAAAAAGUCUGGUGUGGUUUGAAAGAGGAUCUAAUUUUUCUAAGAGGAAAAAACAUACAUCUGGAUGGGAAGAAAACUCUGAGCACAUCCAAGGAGUAGUUUAGGAUGUACUGUCUUUCCAGUCAUGCAUAGAAGAGCCCCUUGCCUCUAUGAACACUUCUGUCCCACAGACAUCUCUGUGAGGAGAGUGCAACAAAACUGUAGAUCUCCAGGGGAAAGAUAAUUAUGCAAGAGAAAGCUUCACCUUCUCCUGGUUCCUGGUAAACAAUUCUGCUACUGAUGGGGAAACACCUUGUGAGCAAUGUUAUCCAAACAUCCCUGUAUUGUUAGCAGUACUGGUAACAUACCUUCUUGUAUGCUGUUCUGGAGGUGGUUGACAAUCGCUCCCAGGAUAGUUGACAGGUUCAUCACCUGUGCACACUGUGCCAGCCCUAAGGUAAACAGUUCGUUCCAACAGGCACGCACAAGGCUCGUAUUACAGUCCUGCCUAUAAACAGCAGAAAAUCAAACAAUGCUAGGUAGUUUGCAUAUCAGCUUGGUAUUGCCCUAUGUAUAAUUAUGUUAUGUAUAGCAAUUCAUAAUAAGGAUUAAUCUAUUGCAAAACUUUUUGGUAACAGGCAUAUAUUAGCAAAUUACAAGUACUUCAAGAAGCAGAAAGAAAUUAUAGACUAUGGGAAAUCAUUUCAGGUUAUCUGUGAAAUGGUGCUUGUCAAUUCUUUAGCAAGAUAUCAAAAGCAAGCAUUUAAUUUCUACAAAUUAAUGCUUGUUUUUGAUUUGGCUUUAGUUUCUGUAACCACAGUAACAUCGAAUAUUGUAAUUACCCUCCCCUCUGCCUCUUCUGUUUUAUUCUUCAAAACAGGGAAUGUUGCAUAGUCUUCCCACAUUUUAAAUUAUUAAUUAAAAAUUAAACAAUAUUGUAAAUAAAAAAGUUCAAAAUAGCUGGGAAAUGUUCAGAUCAGUGCUUAAAUUCAUUCAAAAGCAAACCAUUCAAAUGGAGUAUGUCCAUUUACCCAAGAGCUUGAAAUGCAGGUAUGGACCUAGCCCAGUGCAUAGAGAGGAAAAGGAGUCGUGAUGCUGACUCACAGAUGUAGUGUACAUUAAGGUACUCUGGCAUCGGACUGGGCAUUGUGAGCUGCAAAAUAUAAAAGUACAAUACAACACAUAUAGUUCAGACACAAACCAGUUUUUAUCAUCAUGAAAUAACUAGCAAAAACAUUCAAACUACUCUCAUAGUCCAUCACAAUCAACAGUGCGACAAGAAGUUGUCAAAGGAAAAUUGUACUAAAUAACUCAUUACUACUGGCAAGGAAUGCAAAUUGGGAAUACAAGACAAGAAAUUAUGUAGGAGCUCAUACAUAUUAAGCAUUAGGUUUUUUUAAUAUGACAUUUAAAGAAGCACAUACCUUAAAUGUGACAUGUGUAUCUGUAAGUAGGGGUCCUUCCACUUCAAUAAUUGGUGUUGACUGAUCUCUACUGAUUACAUGAAUAUUCCCUCCUCCUGUAGGAUCCAUCCCAUCUGCCAAGUUAUGAGCUGUUGUACCAUCUAUAGUAUUAAGUGCCUUAGCCAAGGUAUCAAAUGCCCUAAAAAAUAAAAAAUUAGUAAACAAUUAAAGAGUGCUUCCUUAGAUGUUAAAAAUUUCAUAGUACUCAAAUUAAAUGCUGUAAAAUAUUUCCACUUAGAGGCAACAUACGCAAGAAUUCUUUAGGAUGACACAAGGUCAGACUUUUCAUUACAAUUUGGUCCCUCUUGUACUCUUUGGGCAUUAGUAAAACAAAUAUAUGUGCCCAUCUAUUACUGGUAAAAGAGCUCCCUGUAAGGGAAGGAGUUCAUACUGUAAAUCCUGCUGAUAGAUUUAUCCUAGUAUUUGUACUAGUAAAGGGGCCUUGUGCUGUGCUGGUUGUGGCUGGGAUAGGGUUAAUUUCUUCACUUAAAGAAGGUAGUAUGGGUCUACAUUUUGGAUUUGUACUGAAAACAACGUUGAUAAUGUGGAGAUGUUUUUGUUAUGCACAGCAGUGCUUGCACAGUGUAAAGACCUUUUCUGCUUCUUCUCCUCCCUUCAGUGAGGAAGCUGGACGUGCGUAAGAAGUUUGGAGGUGACACAUCCAGGACAGCUGACCCCAGCUGAUACAAGGAUUAUUCCAUACUUUGUGAUGUCAUGCAUAUAAAGGGGUGAGAAAGAGGAAGUGGGGGGAUCUUUGGAGCGAUAGCAUUUGUCUUUGGAAGUAACUGUUACACAUAGUGGAGCCCUGCUGUCCUGGAGGUGGCUGAACACCUGAGUACCCAUGGAAGGUAGUGAAUUAAUUCCUUUGCUUGUGUGUGUGGCUUUUGCGUCACCUAUUAAACUGUCUUUAUCUCAAGCCAUGCGUUUUCACUUCUGCCCUUCUGAUUCUAUCACCAGUCCCACUGAAGCAUAAAUCUCAACAGUCCUCUUGCACUUAGUAUUUACUAUCCUCCUCACAGAUUCAGUGAGGGCUACAGACCAGAUGUAUUCUGAAGAACAAAGUCCCCAUCCCCCUGUCCUUGUCCCCAUCCUUGAUCUUCAGCUUUUAGGAACAGUGGAGAACAGUGUGGUUUUCUUCUAGACAAUAUGCCUGAAUUUCCUUUCCCUUAAGAUGAAAUAUGGGCAGGCACUCCUGAUCUCCCAGUAUACAUAGAGCCUUAAAAGUCUUAUGACAGUAACAAAAGACAGACUGGUCCCCGGUCUUCUUUAUAUUCAAGCUGUUGCUGGAUCAUUACCCAAACAGAUCACUGUAAAUUCUCUCUGGAUUAACAGAGCUUAAAUGUAAAGAAGAAUUUUGUGUUCCAAUUUCAUACCAGUGGACAGUAUUAUGGUAUAGUGCUUCUUUGCCAUUUUUUUGUCAAGAUUUUUUUGAGGAGAGAUAUUUUUAUAGGUUUUUUUCAGUUUUAAAGAAGGAAUAAGAGGUUGAUGUAAGCUGACAUUGCAGUGUUAAGUAUUUAAAAAUAUUAAUUCACUUCACUUGUAGAGUUCAAAUGAAAGACUUAACAUCCUUACUUAAUGGAAAUAAACAUUUUCCUUCUCUGGGUACAGUAUCUUGUUUUUCUCAUGUGUGGAACUACCCAUUAUACUUCCUUUAAAUGCAGCCAGCCCAGAUGGACAUUAACUAAUGUCCUCCUUGCUCUCACGCUCUCUCUUCUCUCUCCCCCCAGAGAGGUGUUUUCCAGUCAGUGUAGUGGGCAGACUGUCUGGUAUUUGUUUAUUGUCAGGGGCUUUUCUGUGUAAAUAAUUUUUCUUACACCUUUUGUUAUUAAUGUUGUUGCUAUUACUGUUUCAUUUUGCUGUUACUGUUUGUUUGCUAGUCUCAUUGCUGUUUCCAGUAAAUUGCUCCUAUUUCAACCUAUGAUCUUUGCCUUUUGUGCCUCUGACUGGAGAUGGAGGGGAAAGUAAGUGGCAGCAUAGUUUAAAUGUGAACAUUACAUUGGAGAAUACCAUUCUUAAACCAUGACAGUUAAGCUCCUCCUAAAAAUCUUCUUUUUGAGAAACAGUGGACAGUUCUAAGUCCGAGUAUUAACCUAUACUGCUAAAUUCAACCAACCUGCCUCCCUCCCACAAAUAACACAACCAAAAGCAUCCAACAAAAAAAAUCCCAACCUUGCAAAUCUCAAGGAAAUUUUAAUAUUCCAUGCUCCUUUUUAAUAUAUUUUUCAUUAAGAAAAGAAAGAUUUCAAACUCUAAAUCUAUAUUACCAUGAGACUUUAUGGCAGCACAAUCUCAAAAAUAAAUCUGCAGUAAUGCAGACUCCUAAAGAGCAGGGCUUAGGGCCACAAGCAUUGCACAGGAGAAGCUUACAUAAAACACACCUGUGAAAUAAAAUGGCACUGAAAUGUUGCUAUUCUCAGAGUCUUUCAAGGUCAAAAACUAGUAAUUUAUUAUGUUUUUGAGAACCAAAUCUGGUCUAGCUUUAAGACGCUACAUUUGUAACACAGGACACAGUUCUUCACAAAACUGAUUUCUAAAGAACUGGUAUUUUGUUUCAAAGUAGGGGCAAUCUGGCAAUCUAUACUGUGUCUGGUGUAAUAAUGCCAAAUUCCUUUAGUGAAUGAGUGCAAGGAUACACCACAUAGAACACAAAUUACUAAAUAAGGUGUAAAUAUAAAUGCAUACCGUGUAAUCUCACUUGCAGAUUGCUCUUCUUGUUGAAUUUCAGAAGUAUCUCCAUUAUUUAGUGACUCACUGAGAUUAGCGAGAGAUGUUACAACAUUUGCCAGUGUUCCUAAGGCACCCUGGCUUGUUUCAGCCUAAAAAGGAAACACUGUAUUAGUGAAUCAAAAUUAUAGUUACUAUAUCACAUAUAAUUUCCCCCAUUUUCAAUCUUUUUGUUCUUUUUCCCCUGUGCACCUUCUCCUUCUUCCUGAAUGCCAGGAAGAACAAUGGCCGUCAAUUAUCUUUAAAUCCUAUUCUAAUUAUCAAUCCUAGUCCCAGAUGAGACAUCAUAUUGAGAACUACCUGUGGCUGACCUUUUGCAGAAAUAUACUUGCCAAAAGAAACCACAAUCCUAUAGAUCAAUUUAUUACAUCCAUUCAUGUGGUUCUUCACACUUAUCAUAACCUUAUCUUCCAAAGAGCAAUAACUAUGUGAGACUAUGUGCAAUAGAUACAAGUAAUCUGAACAAAUUAAUAGCUAUCUCAGAACUGAAGUGAGCCAGUAAUACCUUGGAAUCAGCAGUUAGGAGGACUGUACCAUCAUCCCUGAUCAAAGGCUGCUGAAUAUUCACGAGCAUUCCCGGAUCAAGAAGACCGGCUGACCUGUUCAAAAGCAUAAGGCAUCUGAUGAUCAAUAGUAUUUUCCAUUAAUCAGAAGAAUGUGUAACAACUUAUGAGAGCAUAAAAGGAAUUACCAGUUUUUAAAUAAACAAUUUAGUGAAGCUUACAGUUUAUUUAACAGGACUUAAGUCUUUCUGAAACAGUUCCCAAAAAGUAGCCUGAAAGACAGAAAGAUCUUAUAAUUUCCAGUGCAAAACAACGACAACUUCCCAAAUGUGUAUCUUCUCAUUUGCUUUUUAUUCUGGUUUAGUCUGCUUUAAGGAAAGCUGUUUUUUUCUCAUGUUCUCGGAAGUCACCUAGUAGCUCUAGUUUUUAUAUUAGACUUUGGAGGAAGGCAUAGCUCUGUAUUCCAAGCAAGACACUGGCCAGCACUGAAUAAAAUGUAAUCAAAGCCUGCAUAAAAUUUCUGCUGCCUUUACUUUUGCUGCUUUUUGACCAAACAUCCUUCCCCUCUCCUGUAUCUAAUUUAGGGAGACAGUGGAAAGUCUUUGCAGUCAGCAAGAAGUUUACUUGCUACUUAGGUGAUGCUCCUAAUGUCCAUAACAUGGUACCAGUGCACACAACACAGGUGCAAGGCUGCAGGACAUUACAGUACAAGGGGUCUGACACUAACAGCUAUCAUCGUGAACAAGCACAGGCAGCAAAUUAUCAUGCAUUAUGCAAAUCUGAAUCCUACAUAAAUAACAGAGUGGUUCUUAAUGAGUACAGUAGUGUUUAUAAGUCUGUAAUGGAUCUGUAGCUCAAGGAAAUUUUUAAGAAGAAAAUGUUUCUGUGAGUACUUCUUUCAAACAAGAACACUGAAAAACAAUUCUCCAAGAAACCUGCAGCCCAAACUUCCUAACUGCAGUGUCAUUUGUUCAAUAAGGAAUAUGUAUAUAAAAAAAUUAAACACACACGCUUCCUCCCAUAUGAAAACUGAAGAAUAAAAUUUUUACGAAGUUCUCAACCAUUCAUAAACUACAGUUUUUAAAAUGUCAUAUUUAACCUAGACUUUUUUUAGUCUAUUCAGAAAAAAAAAGAAAUCUUGCCUUUGUUUGUAAUGAUGUUCAUUUUCACAACCAUUGCCUAAGGAGAUAUCUGAGAAUGCAGGAACUGCAUGGCGGCAGGGUACAGGAACCACCUCUUCCAUAUAGUAAAAGGAAGCUGCUGUUUUGCUGCUGCUGAAACCAGUCUCUUGGGAUGUGAAUCAGCAGCCACUGAGUCUCCCUAACUAUUGCCUUUAGGAGAAGGAAGCCUGAUUGUGCCAUUUGCAGAUCUGAUUUCAGAGAAGUGCUAACUCAAAUGUAUCACAGCAUUAGCCUACAUGCUUUCUGCUUGAAUAUCAUUCACUUGCUCUGCAUUGCUCUGACCUGGACAAGAGCCAGCUCUGAACUGAAAACCACAUACCUGUAUCAAAGCACAGGCAACCCCCAACGAAGGGGAGAGAAAAUGAUGCAUCUGACUCCAUCAUCAGAAGGCUAAAUAAUUACUUUAGUAUGCUAUACUAUAUAUAUUGCAUGGAAACUGAAUCUGCCUUGCACUCACCCUUGCUCACAACUGCACAGAACUGCACUUAUCCCUUGACCUUCUCAUGACUGUCUCGUGACAGUCCAACACACACACUCUUCUUGGCCCUGAUAGGCCGAGGGAACAAAACAUCCUCACUCUGGAUAAACAAUCUCCAUUUUGCAUUCCACCUUAGCACAACACAGGCACAGCAAGAGAGAUAAGAAUUAUGUUUUCCUUCUUCUCUGCUUGUCUCACAGCUUCUCUCUGUUCAGAGGGCAUGUGAAUACCACAUACCUGUAUGCAGACAUAAAAACUUUCAUGAGAAGCAGAACCUACAUUGGCCUUAGUAAUGGAAACAGAUGAUGUGUGCAUUAGAGUUCUUUUCUGUUCCCUCUGAGAGCAGGGGGGAGAAAGAAUAUAGAUGUGACUGCAAAGUAAUAUGCACAAAUAAUGUGAAAGAAGAUGCAUGGAAUUGAGGUACUCACCGUGUCCCAUCUUUAUCUGCCACAAAUGUUGGAGUUGCUAUUAGAGGGCUUCGAAGAUCUUUUCUUAUAUAGAUUUUUUCAGUAGAAGCUGCACAGUUGGUUGGUUUUUCACGUUGCACAUCAAAAGGCUUUCUUUCACUUUGAACCGCUACAUAAAGAUAGAAACAUACAGAUUUUAAAGGAAAUAAUUCAAAUGAAAAAUACAACAAGUAAAUAAAAUUCCUGCACUUAUGAUAGUGCACCAGCUCAGUUCAAAACUGGAAAUUUAAUACCAAGAGUGAAGAAACACAGGCUGCAAUGUUACUAUAUCUGGGUUUUGAUGAGAGAGUGGAGAGAAGAGAGGAAGGCUCAGGCUAUAUCUGAAUGUGCAGUUGAUGAAGGUGUAGUUCCCACUCUGAGCUUCCUUACCUGAUGCUUUAUCACCACAGACUACACAAUAUUCUACUACCUGGGGCCGCUGAACAUCAGUUUUUCCUAGUAGGCGUUCCACUGAAGCAGAGUCUGUCACUAUCUAAAGCAAAAUUCCAGAACAAAAAGAUGUAAUUAGCCAGAUAUAAAGGUGCGUUGUAUCUCUGUAUAUCAGUGAAUCUUACACUGAGAAAUCCUGGCACUUCUCACAAGCACUGUCUUAAGGAUUUCCUUAUGUCUUUGUAACCUGAAUGAGAACACACAACGAGGGUCAAUGAGUGCAAUGGAAUACAUGAGGUCACAAAAGUUGCACACUAAAUGAGGAAGACAGGAGAGAUGUAGAAAUAAGAGGCAUCUUCUAAUUAUUGGAUGAUUCAAAGUUUUCAGCUGCAGAAAACAAGAUACUUAGAUAAAAAAUAUGACAUUCCAAAAGUCUCUCAGUGCCAAGUUUGAGUCUACAUUUUCUCUAAGAUAUGUCUAUUAUUCAAGCUGUACAGAAGAGAUGUUAAUUUCAUAAAUGAGAAAGGUCUACUUUCAAAGUCAAGUAUUAAUGCAGCUUGUGGAAUUCAUUGAUCUCAAAGGCACUUUCCUCAGCUCAGGUAGGAGAAACCCUGCCAUUAAACUGCUUCCACACUACAUGCUAAACCAGGGAGCAGCAAGCUAAGAAUGCAGUUUGGCAUAAAUUUUCAUUGAGUCGUUCUGUCAAACCACCAUGUUCAUCCAUAUUCUUAAGAAUAACCUUACCCUAUAAGGGAAAUAAACAGUUACAUCUAAAAUGUACCUUCCAUUAUUUAAACUAAUUUUUUUUAUUAUAAUGUGAUACUAUUAUCACAAUGAGAAGAAAAUACUGCAGAAUCAUUUCAUCCUAUUCCAAGUAACUCCAACCUUAGGGGUUAAAAAAAAUACAAAGAAAUCAAAGACGAAGAAACGAUAAAAAACACUUCCAAUGUAUUUUUCAUUAUCAUUAUUAGGGGUGUAUUUCUUCCAAGGUAAAUUUAAUUAAGAUUUCCAAUUAAUGCAUUCAUUUUUUAAUUGUGACUUGCUAAUUAUAGGGCUAGUCUUUAGAUUCUGAUUUGUUGUUGUAGGUAAUAAAAAAAGCAUUCCUGAAUGCUGGCUUGUUCAAUGUUUCACUGGAAACCUCUGCUUAAAAUUGCAAAGCCAUUUGCAAUUAAUUAAUUUAAUAUAAAAUUUAAAAAUACAGCAAACAAUAGCAACACAGGUAACAGAAAAAUGUAUGCAUGUCUCUAUGACCCAUUCAAAUGUAACUUCUACAAAGCUAACAUUGUUAAAUAUGUCAAAAUUCAUUAAAUUAAAUGGAUUCACUUAUAUUGUGACAUAUGUGAAAGUAAUUUCUUAUAUGUCAAGUAAAGAUUAUUUGUAACAAUGCAUAAUCAAACUUGAGACGUCCCCAUGGAAAUUGUAUUUAUGCUAGGUUCUCCUGCAGUUUGUCAUUAUUUUAUUGAAGUAUUGCACUUGAUUAUGACUAUGAACCAUUUCCACCAAAUUCAGCUUAUGGAUGGUUUCUCAGUUGUUCAAUGAUUCCUUUUCAGUGUUUCCCCCUUUUUUUUUUUAAUAUUCAGAAGAAGCACAAGAAGCAUAAUCAUAUGCUCAUAAUAUGCUGUUUUCUCAGUGCUUCAUGAUGACAGAAGCCCUUCCAAUUAGAUAUCUUGUUCAUAACAGUACCUUUCUGAAAC
Molecule: long non-coding RNA, 14472 nt
Organism: Passer domesticus (house sparrow)
Lineage: Eukaryota; Metazoa; Chordata; Aves; Passeriformes; Passeridae
Exons: 8
Source: RefSeq, a predicted model, not a curated record